GAAAAUUCUUUUUCAUAGCAGAGAACACGAUACGGAAAUAACUUGGAAUAUUAUUUUCUCGAAUGAGUUUAUUUUUUAUAGUUUUCUUUUAAUCAAUAUGGGAAUCGCAAAUACAAAGUGUUUAUUUUUUAUUACAUUUGGCUUCCUUUGAGUUUAAUAUGUAUAAGAAUAACUAUGUAAUUGGUAUAAAUUUCACUCGAAGUGSUUUAGACGAGGUCAAAGUGAGAUCUGCCGAAAACGUAACGUCAUCUAGCUCAUCAACCGGUUCCAGCUCAAAAUUGUACAAUAUAAAAGCUACGAAGACUUUAAGCUCGAGCAUUGCCAACU
Polistes canadensis is the source of this 327-nucleotide long non-coding RNA. RefSeq lists it as uncharacterized. The record is from RefSeq and is a predicted model, not a curated record. The transcript is spliced from 2 exons. Lineage: Eukaryota; Metazoa; Arthropoda; Insecta; Hymenoptera; Vespidae.